RNAcentral lists this ribosomal RNA (406 nucleotides) under uncultured bacterium. RNAcentral's name for it is "partial 16S ribosomal RNA". It matches the Rfam family "Bacterial small subunit ribosomal RNA", at positions 28 to 526 of the family's 1533-position model. The record is from RNAcentral.
GACGAACGCUGGCGGCAGGCCUAACACAUGCAAGUCGAGCGAGCGGCGGACGGGUGAGUAAUGCCUAGGAAUCUGCCUGGUAGUGGGGGAUAACGUCCGGAAACGGGCGCUAAUACCGCAUACCAUCGGAUGUGCCCAGAUGGGAUUAGCUAGUAGGUGGGGUAACGGCUCACCUAGGCGACGAUCCCUAGCUGGUCUGAGAGGAUGACCAGCCACACUGGAACUGAGACACGGCCCAGACUCCUACGGGAGGCAGCAGUGGGGAAUAUUGCACAAUGGGCGCAAGCCUGAUGCAGCCAUGCCGCGUGUAUGAAGAAGGCCUUAGGGUUGUAAAGUACUUUAAGCGGGGAGGCGUUACCCGCAGAAGAAGCACCGGCUAACUCCGUGCCAGCAGCCGCGGUAAUAC